CCUAUACAAAUGACGUGUUCUAACAAGUGACAUGUGCGUGAGGCUCGAUCUUAAAGUUUGAGUCUAAUACAAAUGACGUCCAUCUUUUCUACAAAUGACGGAGAGUCUUAUACAAAAUUACAAAUGAUGUGAGUUCUGUACAUGUGAUUUAUCUCAAAGAUUACUGCAGCCAGUGGCCCAGUGUAAAAAGUAAAUGAGUAUGCUGGCUUGCUCAUAUUGAAAGUGUCAUCAACAUGAAGUUAAAACGACGUUACAUAUGUCAAUCUCACGCCACUAAGUAAAAAUUCUAAGAAAUUGUGGAAAUGAAAACUAAACUUUUCAACUGUAUUUGCAUUACAAAACUUUAAUUAGUUUA
Xenia sp. Carnegie-2017 is the source of this 355-nucleotide long non-coding RNA. RefSeq lists it as uncharacterized. NCBI's taxonomy places the organism in Eukaryota, Metazoa, Cnidaria, Anthozoa, Malacalcyonacea, Xeniidae. The record is from RefSeq and is a predicted model, not a curated record. The transcript is spliced from 2 exons.